UACGUAGGGACCAAGCGUUGUCCGGAUUUAUUGGGCGUAAAGCGCUCGUAGGCGGUUCGGUAAGUCAGGUGUGAAACCUCUGGGCUUAACCCAGAGCCUGCAUUUGAUACUGCUGUGACUUGAGUUCGGUAGGGGAGUGGGGAAUUCCUAGUGUAGCGGUGAAAUGCGCAGAUAUUAGGAGGAACACCGGUGGCGAAGGCGCCACUCUGGGCCGAAACUGACGCUGAGGAGCGAAAGCGUGGGUAGCAAACAGG
This 254-nucleotide ribosomal RNA is filed under the name uncultured bacterium. RNAcentral describes it as "partial 16S ribosomal RNA". It matches the Rfam family "Bacterial small subunit ribosomal RNA", at positions 524 to 776 of the family's 1533-position model. The record is from RNAcentral.